CGGUGCUUGAGACCCAGAAAGCAUAUUCUAAACCAGUAUUCUAAACAGACAAUACCCUCACUUAUAAACAUGAAGUUUCUAGUCCUUGUCGCUUUUUUCGCCGCUCUAGUGUUCAUUACACAGGCUUCACCCAUCGCUGAAGAAAUACACUCUGCAGAACUAUCUUCUAUCGCAGUGGAACCAAUGGAGAUGUUAAAUAGCGCUCCACGGAGCUGCACGCCCUCGUCUUGUUACAAUUUGUGCAGAAGACUGGGAUGGCGCACAGGCAGCUGCAAUGGGCAACGUCAGUGCGUCUGCAGGCGUUGAUACACCUACAACUAUUUUAAUUUUAUAUUAUAAGCUUUUGUUUAAUAAAACAAUACAAUUGUAUUUUUAAAAUAUAAAUAAAAAUUUGGGCCAA
Molecule: long non-coding RNA, 400 nt
Organism: Pieris brassicae (large cabbage white)
Lineage: Eukaryota; Metazoa; Arthropoda; Insecta; Lepidoptera; Pieridae
Exons: 2
Source: RefSeq, a predicted model, not a curated record